AUUUGGUGUUGCUCUGUCCAUCUCUUGAUGGUUAAUUUCUGUAACUCUUCCUUUUUGUAGGUAAUUUUAGUGGAAUUUUGCAUGUGCAGUUGGCCAUUGAUCAAAUUGUUAAUCUUUCGAAAGGGUUUGCUUAUGUUAAGUUCAAGACUAGAAUUGAUGCUGAGAAAGCCCAGGCACAAAUUGAUGAAAAAGUAAUCCAUGCCAAGUUCACCCUGCCAGAGCGAAAGAAGGCUGCCUCACCUCCAAGGGUUGUUGCAACUUCCUUAGGAAGAGAUGCUCCAAGAACUGAUAAUGCCCCCGUUGAUGUGAAGAAAUAUGGAAAAAAUGACAACAAGAGUGUUUGACAUUAGUUUAUUUUUGACAAAAUACUUG
Molecule: long non-coding RNA, 372 nt
Organism: Capsicum annuum
Lineage: Eukaryota; Viridiplantae; Streptophyta; Magnoliopsida; Solanales; Solanaceae
Exons: 3
Source: RefSeq, a predicted model, not a curated record